GUUUUUCUAGAUACACAUUCUUUAAUUCAGACAGGAAUGUGGUAUGGGGAGAAUGCUAAAGGAAUUUGAGAGAACAUUUCAGUGCCACUGAUUUGUAUGUGACACCAAGACGCCUCUUAGUGGUCAGGAGCUGGAAAUGCAGCUUAUGUAAUGCCCAUCAUCUUUAUUCUUUUCAGUUUUUUUCUCCGUUGCCCAGGCUUGGAGUGCAGUGGCGUGAUCUCGGUUCACUGUAACCUCCACCUCUUGGGUUCAAGCGAUUCUUCUGCCUCAGCCUCCCGAGUAGCUGGGAUUACAGUGCCUGCCACCAUGCCCGGCUAGUUUUUGUAUUUCUAGUAGAGAUGGGGUUUCACCAUGUUGGCCAAGCUGGUCUCAAACUCCUGACCUCAACCGAUCCACCUGCCUCGGCCUCCGAAAGUGCUGGGAUUACAGGCAUAAGCCACCGCACCCAGCGUUCAGUUUCUUUAAUGGUGUUUCUUUCCUGUGUUGUGGUACAUCAUAGGUGGCAAUACCUGCUUUUUACUCUAUUGCAUAAAGAAGCUGUAUUCUACUCCUUAUCACCCCUACCUCUGUCCUGCUUAACUUCCACCACGUUGACAUAAUCAAGUAUCUGUAGUGUCGCUACUGAACUCAGCCUUUUCCAUUUGUCAGCUGAUGGUAGGAAUUAGAGAAAGCUGGGCAGUACUUUGAAGAAAUAAAAACCAGAGCAUAAUAAUGACGAAUUAAGGCAAAAAUGAAUAGUCACUUUAUUUUGAAGGGUGGGCAGAUUAGAUAUUUUUAAAAUUAUAAAUUCCCCAAUUCUCUUAUGGCUGAAUAAUAUUUCCUGUUCAUCAUAGGUUGGAUGAAUUCAUUCCUAACUUUUUCUUCUCCUGGCUUGUGGGGUCCCAGGCCCCAUCACAGGUAUAUGGAGGAGUGACCUACUAUAACCCCGCCCAGCAGCAGGUGCAGCCAAAGCCCUCCCCACCCCGGAGGACUCCCCAGCCAGUCACCAUCAAGCCCCCUCCACCUGAGGUUGUAAGCAGGGGUUCCAGUUAAUACGAGUUUCUGAAUAUUUUAAAUCUUAACAUCAUAUAAAAAGCAGCAGAGGUGAGAACUCAGAAGAGAAAUACAGCUGGCUAUCUACUACCAGAAGGGCUUCAAAGAUAUAGGGUGUGGCUCCUACCAGCAAACAGCUGAAAGAGGAGGACCCCUGCCUUCCUCUGAGGACAGGCUCUAGAGAGAGGGAGAAACAAGUGGACCUCGUCCCAUCUUCACUCUUCACUUGAGUUGGCUGUGUUCGGGGGAGCAGAGAGAGCCAGACAGCCCCAAGCUUCUGAGUCUAGAUACAGAAGCCCAUGUCUUCUGCUGUUCUUCACUUCUGGGAAAUUGAAGUGUCUUCUGUUCCCAAGGAAGCUCCUUCCUGUUUGUUUUGUUUUCUAAGAUGUUCAUUUUUAAAGCCUGGCUUCUUAUCCUUAAUAUUAUUUUAAUUUUUUCUCUUUGUUUCUGUUUCUUGCUCUCUCUCCCUGCCUUUAAAUGAAACAAGUCUAGUCUUCUGGUUUUCUAGCCCCUCUGGAUUCCCUUUUGACUCUUCUGUGCAUCCCAGAUAAUGGAGAAUGUAUCAGCCAGCCUUCCCCACCAAGUCUAAAAAGACCUGGCCUUUCACUUUUAGUUGGCAUUUGUUAUCCUCUUGUAUACUUGUAUUCCCUUAACUCUAACCCUGUGGAAGCAUGGCUGUCUGCACAGAGGGUCCCAUUGUGCAGAAAAGCUCAGAGUAGGUGGGUAGGAGCCCUUCUCUUUGACUUAGGUUUUUAGGAGUCUGAGCAUCCAUCAAUACCUGUACUAUGAUGGGCUUCUGUUCUCUGCUGAGGGCAAAUACCCUACUGUGGGGAGAGAUGGUACACCAGAUACUUUUGUGAGAAAGGGAUGGUGGAGUGAGAGCCUUUGCCUUUAGGGGUGUGUAUUCACAUAGUCCUCAGGGCUCAGUCUUUUGAGGUAAGUGGAAUUAGAGGGCCUUGCUUCUCUUCUUUCCAUUCUUCUUGCUACACCCCUUUUCCAGUUGCUGUGGACCAAUGCAUCUCUUUAAAGGCAAAUAUUAUCCAGCAAGCAGUCUACCCUGUCCUUUGCAAUUGCUCUUCUCCACGUCUUUCCUGCUACAAGUGUUUUAGAUGUUACUACCUUAUUUUCCCCGAAUUCUAUUUUUGUCCUUGCAGACAGAAUAUAAAAACUCCUGGGCUUAAGGCCUAAGGAAGCCAGUCACCUUCUGGGCAAGGGCUCCUAUCUUUCCUCCCUAUCCAUGGCACUAAACCACUUCUCUGCUGCCUCUGUGGAAGAGAUUCCUAUUACUGCAGUACAUACGUCUGCCAGGGGUAACCUGGCCACUGUCCCUGUCCUUCUACAGAACCUGAGGGCAAAGAUGGUGGCUGUGUCUCUCCCCGGUAAUGUCACUGUUUUUAUUCCUUCCAUCUAGCAGCUGGCCUAAUCACUCUGAGUCACAGGUGUGGGAUGGAGAGUGGGGAGAGGCACUUAAUCUAUAACCCCCAAGGAGGAAAUAACUAAGAGAUUCUUCUAGGGGUAGCUGGUGGUUGUGCCUUUUGUAGGCUGUUCCCUUUGCCUUAAACCUGAAGAUGUCUCCUCAAGCCUGUGGGCAGCAUGCCCAGAUUCCCAGACCUUAAGACACUGUGAGAGUUGUCUCUGUUGGUCCACUGUGUUUAGUUGCAAGGAUUUUUCCAUGUGUGGUGGUGUUUUUUGUUACUGUUUUAAAGGGUGCCCAUUUGUGAUCAGCAUUGUGACUUGGAGAUAAUAAAAUUUAGACUAU
This 2791-nucleotide small RNA is filed under the name Pan troglodytes (chimpanzee). Its description in RNAcentral is "retained intron". Lineage: Eukaryota; Metazoa; Chordata; Mammalia; Primates; Hominidae. The record is from RNAcentral.